AGCUUCAGUUAGAACUUCAGUCAGAGUUCGACUUCUUCUCAACGUACUUUGUACAACGAUUUUUCCAAACUAUCUCAGCAUUUCCCAAACGAGGUGUCAAGAACAAUUCUGAAAGGAAAGCGCAAAGCAAUCUCUCAUUGAUGACCAGACACAGAGACAGUAUAACUGUCACCUCAUUAUCACCGAUAAAGCAAGCUACGAAAAUUACUUGGGUGGACAGUGGUUCAAUUUCUGCAGAUAACGAGUGAUGGAAGAAGGUGGUAAGCAUCUUUGAUCUCGAAAAGUCACAGAAGAAUUUACA
This 301-nucleotide long non-coding RNA is filed under the name Medicago truncatula (barrel medic). Its description in RNAcentral is "lncRNA gene31521". The record is from RNAcentral. Lineage: Eukaryota; Viridiplantae; Streptophyta; Magnoliopsida; Fabales; Fabaceae.